UAUUGGACAAUGGGCGCAAGCCUGAUCCAGCCAUGCCGCGUGAGUGAAGAAGGCCCUCGGGUUGUAAAGCUCUUUUGUCCGGAAAGAAAAGCUUCGGGUUAAUACCCCGGGGUUCUGACGGUACCGGAAGAAUAAGCACCGGCUAACUUCGUGCCAGCAGCCGCGGUAAUACGAAGGGUGCAAGCGUUACUCGGAAUUACUGGGCGUAAAGCGUGCGUAGGUGGUUCGUUAAGUCUGAUGUGAAAGCCCUGGGCUCAACCUGGGAAUUGCAUUGGAUACUGGCGGGCUAGAGUGCGGUAGAGGAUAGUGGAAUUCCUGGUGUAGCAGUGAAAUGCGUAGAGAUCAGGAGGAACAUCCGUGGCGAAGGCGACUGUCUGGACCAGCACUGACACUGAGGCACGAAAGCGUGGGGAGCAAACAGG
RNAcentral lists this ribosomal RNA (422 nucleotides) under uncultured bacterium. RNAcentral describes it as "bacterial SSU rRNA". It matches the Rfam family "Bacterial small subunit ribosomal RNA", at positions 362 to 776 of the family's 1533-position model. The record is from RNAcentral.